UGCCAAGCUUUCUUGACUCGUGUGUCUACUCCUUCUUACUACUCAGGCUAUCAGAUCAAAUACCACGAAGAAAUGAUUAAUGAAACGCUCUAAAUAUCGUGGAUCAGCUUCAGAGUCCCCAUUCCAGGGGGACAACAGCCUCACAAGACAUUGGCAGUGAUGCCAUUAGUACCUUUAGAUACUUACUCCUGGCCACUGCCACAUCCUCAGCCAACAAAAUCAGAUCAAAAGGAAACAACACCAAUUUCUUACUACAUCCUGCUGUUUUUUUUUUUUGUUUUGUUUUGUUUUUAGUGUGGAACUAUUAUUUGCUUCAAACCAUAGUACUACAGUGUGCUGACACAAAUCACAGAGGGUAUAUCCUACAGGAUAAUAUCUUAAGACACCAAAAAAAAAAAAAAAAUUCUGAAGUCAAGACCUCUGUUAGCAAGUCCCCUUGCCCCUAAGCCCUCUUUCAGGGCAGUUGCCACAUUCAAAGGAAAAGAACACAUCAACAACGUAAGAAUGACCUUCAGAAUAUUCCCCCCUGCCCCCACCCCUCCCUAAGAGAACAAAAGAAAACCAAACAACUAAAAAGUAUUUAGCCACCAGUCCACAUACAUGCAAGGUCUUUCUGGAUUUCUAGUAAGUAUGACAGCUAAGCAGUUAAGAGAAGCCCUUUAGAUGUUUGACAUUUAUUCUAAAUGUAAAAGUCAUUAGUGUAUGGUAACACAAUGAAAGCUCCAGUUAGUAGCAAGCCCUAACACAUCGCUAUCUGGGGUGAAACGCAUCAGGGCUUCUGCAGCAAAAUUCCAGACUUCCGAAUGCUCCUUUGCCUGAUUUCAAGGGGAGAAAUGUUGCAGAAAUAUUCUGUACGUGCAUCUGCUCUCCUGGGCACAUGAAGCCUUUGUUUUAAUUAACAAAGUUGACAAAUGUAUUCUUCAGACAACUAUGUGGUUGAGAACUGUUCACAGUUAAUUAGCGCCUUUGUUUCAGCCUUAUGCCCUUACUUCUAGGGAGCAAGAUACACUCCGGACUCCAGCACCUCCGGCAGCUCUAGCCAUUAGCUCCUACUCUAAAUUUCUGACACUCCCUGAACUGCCACAGAAGUUAACUUCAGCUUGCUUUUUUUUCCCCCACAGCUAAGGGUUCCCAUUUCAGAGCAGGAGGCAGACAAACAGUGAAACUUCUAAAAUUAAUCCUGACCACAUCAGAUCCACCUAGCCCAAAACACAGGCACUCUACCACAUAACCCGUGAGCCCUCCCGCAAAAGCCUGCGCAGUGUAACUGCUACCGUUAGAAAAUUAAGAAAGAGGAAAAAAAAGACCGAAACAAGUAUUUACAUAAUAAGAGAACUGGAACACCUGAUCAGAAAUUCAUCUCGGUGUUCUCUCUCAGAGGCUUUGUUACAGGAGACCUGUUCUGGCUUUUGGCUUUAUUUCUUGCCUUAGAAAUUCCUGAAACAAAAUGGUGAUGGUCCCACGGUGCUGCGAGUUUAAACAUCGACACACAAAAAAGCAGACAGGUAGAAGCCAUCGACUCUGAGAAAUGAUUUAAUUGAUUUACUUCAACUGCAGAAGUAAAUGUGCUGCGUGUGUUUUUAAUUAAAGAAAUCAGAUGUCUCCACUCAUCUGGCUCUGAUCCAUGCUGUGCCAACUUAAGCCCUGCCAAUGAAUCUGAAUGGUCCAACAAGCCUCUGUCCCUCCUCAAACAUCCACCAUUCACAUUAAAUAAAGCACAUAACAAUUGAAGGAAAAUAGACCUGAAAAGAGCUUAUUUCCAAAUGUAAAGGUCUAACCUGAAGAUAGCUAUUUUCAUGUAAAUCUGAAUUCUUCUUGUCCAUAUACAUAGACCAAUAAUUAUCUGUUCACUUAACACUCUAAGCUUCUCUUAUGCGAUUAACAGGGAGGAGCAAAUUAAAAGGAAAAUGGAAUGGAAAUCCCUCAAAGCAAUAGAAGAGAAAUGUACCUUCCCUGCUCACAAACUAGCAAAAGGGACCGAAAGCAAACUUCUGCAUUCAGGGCAACGAGAAGAGGAAAAAAUGAGUUGAAACCCCAAAUUCAUUUUGCACAGCAAAAGCUAGGCCAGCCUGGCAAAAUCUGGGAGGGUUCUGCUCUUAGCAUCAGUUUUAACUACUAAUCUGCUCUUAGUCCCUUUCGGAAUGGGAAAGAGUCUCUAAUUCAGCCAGCCUUACCUUUGCAGAGCUCGCACAGUAGAGAUGCUGAUGCAGGGUCUUUGUGAGAAAGUCACGUUUAAAAUACCUUCCCACAAAAACCGUUCAGCAUCUGGACACGUGCUCCAUAAAAUCUCAGCUAUCUUGUACAUAUCCACUGCAGCAUGUCACUACUACCUCAAAAGCUGAGAUUCCAGUUUGGAAACUGGAAUUCCCAAAUUUCACCUCCAACAUAUUUUGGUCUGAAAACAAUGAAAAUAAAAUAUUAUUAACUGCUGUGAAAAUUUGGCAUGAAAAUUUAAAAAGAAGAAAGAAACAUUGCUGAUCAGUGAAAGUAGCAUACACGUUAAGUUUUAUCGUGAAUACAAAUUUCAAUUUCAGUGAAAACCUGCAGAAAGCUACCAGCAUUGCCUGUGGUAGUAGUAGCUUCCAUGUGAACUGGGCAGAGGAACAAGUCCCAUGUAGUGCUGAAACUAUACAAGCUCUCAGGAUUACAAGCCAGGCUGUAAUAGAAACUUGUCCCACUAUCUGCAAAAGAUCAACAUGCCCACGCUACCUCAACUGAAAUAAAUUUAUUUAUUAACUGAACUUAUGUUUUAUUAUGCAUAAUCCUUCUAAAAUGAAGCAAUUACCUUGACUCUGCUUAGCUCAUUCAGAAAUGGUCUCUCUACUGAUGGCUUCAACCAAGUAAGCUACUUCCAGCCUCGGAUAAAGUAGAAGCUCCUUCUAUUAAUCCAUACAGGCAAGGCCUGGUCAUGACGGCCUACCAGUUCAAGUGCUGGUCCUAUUAUUAUUAUUUUUAAACAGUUCAUGAUUAUGCCCAGAAUCAUGGCAGGACAAAUUUUCAAGAGUAUGGAUAUAAAAAAAAAAACAAACUAUGCUAUCACCCACCAUAUAGAAUCAAAGGAUUAAAAUAGUUACCAUAAUUUUAACCAGAAAAAUCACCAGGACCAUAGGAGCAUGAGCUGAAACACUGGUCAGAAUACUCUGAACUUGUCUACCCUAACAUUUGGCGUACUUCUCCAGUCAUAAGAGAAAACUGAAAGAACUUAUGGAAUUAGCUGACAGACACAACAGAAUGAACUCUAAUGUGGAAGCCAAGUGCUAACAUGAAGACACCAGCUCCAGAGAUCCUGUUGACCUGUAGUCUUAUUGGGUCUGCAUUUUUCAGAUGACCCAUUUGUAAGUUUCUUUCAUCUUUGUCUGCAUUAAAUAAGGAAGAGAAUGAGUAACAGGGAAGAAAUCAAAAGACGACACAAAUUAGCAGCGUAUUAAAUUAUGCCAUACAAGCUAUUGCCUUGUAAAAAUGUGGAUGGAUGCUUUACAGAAUUUUUGUAAUUUAUGAUGGUGCUAAGAAAGUAUAUUAGGAAAAAGGCCAAUGAGUUACAUUCCUUGGAAAAAAAAAAAAAACACUAGAAAAUAGUGAUCUGGUAAGAAUAACAUUUAUCAGUGAACAAGACUGCUUCUGUGGAUUGCUGUCUCCUUUUCCAAAACUCUACAUUACUCACUAUGACUAUAAAACAAGAAAGAUCACAACAUCCCAAGUUUCUCACAAAACCUAACACCACUCUGACAGGGUUACGCCAAAAAGUCACCUGUCUGCUCUUUGCAUACAGUGCAUUUCUCAUAGCAAAGCAGGCCUGCCUGUACAGGUGUCAGUGUAUCCCCUCAAUUAGUGCUAUUGUAGCAGAUAAUCAGCUAUUAACAAUUCCCAACAGUCAAAAAGCAACCCCCAAACCUAAAAUUUCACUUAUGUACUUAUCUUAAAGAACUAAGCAACAUCUCUCUGGCAGAUUUGUGUGUGGCUUAAAGAUGAGUAUUUUUGACAAAUUCCAGAGCAAAAUGGUAUGUCUCAAAGGAAACUUAAUUCUAAGCUCAUUUGUACUCAGAUCUACAGUGUGGCUGUCCCAAUGUCAAGCAUUCAAAUAUUUCAUAUUCAAACAUUUUAACUCUUUGUUCCCAGGGCUCCACCCAGGAACACAUGGUAGAUCUCCACCGAGCUCAGCCUGCAUAUAGUAAAGAGGAUCUGAACUCCAGCCUAGAAAGCAGCGUGAUACUAGUAUUUAUUAUAGCACUUAAGCAAGUAUUUCUCUCAGGAUAUAGAUCACUCAGGCUGCACAUUCAUGAGCUCCAACCUCCACUCAGAUAACUUGGCUGCAGCCUCAGCUCUUGAGCAUGUCACGCAGAUCGCAUACUUUGCUAAGCUUGGAGGAACCUGGAAAACCCCUAUGAACAUUUGUCUACAGUGAGCAACGGUUCAUCUGCUAAUUUUGUUCCUUCAACUCAAGUGUUAUCUACAAUUUCUGCUAUACACACAGUAUCCUUCCUGCACUAGUCCAGAUGUUAGACAGCUAAAGCAUCAUUAUUAGACUAUCUGCUCUGUAGUAAGGUAGCAGUCGGCUUGAUCUAGCUGUCAGUGGAAAUGGCUAAGACACUCCUAGACAGCACUGAUGAAUGCUGCAAUACAUGUAUUUUAAAAUAGUAUAUCCAGUCUAUAAAAACAGAUUAUCAAAUGAAACAUACCCUGCUUAAAACUUCCAUUAUAUGCAUUUCAAGAGAAAGAAACUUCACUACAGCCUCCUGUUUCUGAGGUACAAACAUCUUGUUCCUGGUUCUUUCAGCAACUGCAAACAAAUAAUUAGCCCUUCUGAACCCAGGAGUCCUGUACCCUGUAGUUAAUGUGAUGUUACUAAUGCAUUUAUAAACACCAGGCUCCAAAGCCAACACUGAGAUAUUCCAUCACAAUUUAGACCUCUCAUUAACUUCACCACCCUCCCCAACAUGCUGUCACUGGCAGAGUGUUUGACAGUUUACAUUACCUGCAGACAUGCGUUCGUGUCAAUUCAAUUAAGAAAGAUUAAUUCCAGAACUGACAACGCAUAAAUAUUUUUAAAUUACACCUGGCCUUGUUGGCAGUGCUUACUCCAGACUGAUUUCAGAAGAGAACAUGUCCUUAGCGCCCUGGGUAGAAAGAUAAACUAGGAGGAAGGUAAAAGAAAGAAUUCAUUAUGAAAUUAGUACUCCAUUAUUGAGUCCAUAUCUAGCCUUUUUUUAAUCCUUCCCCUCAUUCCCAAAAUAAUUAAACAAGCUUAUCUCUGUCUGUUAUAGAAUUAAAGGAAACAGGAAAGAUUUGAUCCAAAGAGACACUGCCAGAAAAAUCAUCAGAGACAUCUUUAUGAUCAUCUUUUGCUGACUGGUUUAGGUGCAAAUUUCCAGGUUUUCCUCAAGCCAGUCUCUUCCAGUGGGGACAUGGGACACUAGCAUCCCCAAAAUGGGAUGAAUCACCUGUUUGGCGCUUGUAUGCAGACCACACUGUUAAUGUUCCGGCAAGCAAGUAAAAGAUGUCACAGGCUGCAACAUCCUGGGACUAGCAAGCACAGAGUAGAUCGACAGUCUUCUGGACAGCUUCAGUGCAACAGUACCACUGCUCCCUGAAAUGAGAUCAGGAAAUGAGGAAUAACUUUGCUCCAUCAAGACAUGCAGAUGACAAUGACUGGCACUAUCACACUUAAGCACAAAGACUUAAGACUUAGAUGGGAGAUCAUUAUUUUGCAUAUGCAUAUGCUCAGCCUGGAGACCAGGAUGAAGAGCCAGAGGAUGGGGUGAGGAAAACAAACAAAAACAACAAAGCAGAAAAGGCUUCAUGGGACCUCAGCAAAAGGAUUGAUGUCUGCAGAUUACUUCUUUACUGAGUGGCAGAGGACAACAAACUACAAGUGCCGCCAACCCAAAAACUCCGCCAGAAGUCCCUAUGGGAUGAAUUCUUAGAAAUUCCAUCUCGUGGAAUCACAAUGAUGUUGUGAACAAAGCCAAGCCUUUCAGAGAUGCUGCAUGGUCUAGCGAUGGUCAGAGGAGAAGACAGAGCUAUUAGGAUACUGGGUUUAGUCCAGAUUUACAGCACUGACUCAGUCUGGGACAAGUCACUUGACCUCCUAUACCUCAAACAGUCCAGCUGGAAGACACAGAAAGAAAAGCAGCAACCCUGUAUGAGAAACAGUUAUUAUGACUAAGAUCAGCUCCUGGAUAAAACAAGCAUCAAAUAAAAUGUGUUUUCCAUAUGGAAGUUGCUUUCCUAAAGUGGAACAAAAUGUAAAUGCCUGUCAAUUACAAUUAUCUGAGAGGCAAGUCUUGAGAAAAGCAGCUCUGUGACAGACCAACAGGAAAGCCUCAGCUAGCAAUGAAGGACAGUUUUUGAGGGGUAGAGAAAUGGGAGAUGGAAGGUAGUCAAGCAUCUGGCAGCAACAAAGGUGAAACCAUGAUCUGAAGAGGUCAGAGAGAACAAUAUAUCUGAGUCAGAAAAGGUCACUUAUUCAAUAUUCCAGCUGUAAAAUGAAAGAAUGCAAGAGGAGAUUUUUCAGAGUAGAAAUCACAGAUGCAAGAACAUCUAAAAGGUAGACUGUUAUUUGAAAGUGCCAUUGACAUAUGAUGAAUACAUCCUCCCAUGCCAAAUAAUUUCUCAUCAACUCUUGAUUUUACCUUUUCCUUCUCCCCUCUUCUCUAAGCAGUCACACCUGGUUUCCGAGGUUUCCAUACUGCCCAGGAAUCCAGUCUUUUCAUUACAUUACAAUCCUAACUUUAUUAGCUCUGCAUGGUUCUAAAUAUUAAACCGCCUGAAAAAUCCCGGUCUUCUACAAUUCUUCUAAAACCCACAUAUCACAGACACGUUAAUACUAGGAGAUCAAAUAUUUCCUAGGAAAUAGUGGGUACAUUGCAGCCAGGUUCUAUACUUGCACAUUCUUCAACAGGUACAAGUGCCGUUCUUCCAAAAAUGAUUAUCGCUACUCUGCUGCCAUAAUAACAUCUUUACAGAAACCCAAGACUGAAAAAAACCUAUGAAGAUGAGAAGAUGAGUUUCGAGGCUAUCAUAUACUCUACUUGUCCUGGACCACACAUUAACCCAUCAGCAGUAAUACAAGAUUGCUCUAAGCAUGCCUGUGUCAGAAUAUAACUAGAUCCCAAUGUGAGGUAGUAUAAAAAUGAGAUUUCUUCUGUUCUGUCUGUCCUUAGCUGUGCUUUCUGCAUUUUUCUAUGACAGAAAGCCAUUUCAU
Numida meleagris (helmeted guineafowl) is the source of this 7201-nucleotide long non-coding RNA. RefSeq lists it as uncharacterized. The record is from RefSeq and is a predicted model, not a curated record. NCBI's taxonomy places the organism in Eukaryota, Metazoa, Chordata, Aves, Galliformes, Numididae. The transcript has 5 exons.